AUUUAUUCUGGUCGGCAGAUGAUUCCACCUCACAUAUGGCUGGUGGUUUAAAGAAAGGGAAGACCAAGCAAAAGAGACACCACAUUUCUACUGAUCCCUCUAUUGGGCUGGAAAACAGCAGGGACGGUUCCCCAGCCGACAACCCCAGGAGAGAAUUCCAUACAGAGGCCCCCAACCUACCCAUACAGAUGUCUACCAACAUCUUCAUACCACACCACUCCUUCCUUUCCAAGACAGAGAGGCUUCUCUAGAUGUAGACCUGCUGCAGUUUGACCAACUCAUCAAAGGUUCAUAUAUUUAAGAUUCUACAUGAAGUAAGAAUCCCAGUUUAGACAUUCCUUCUACGAUUUUGGAUGUUCUGGUACAAGUUUGUCUUUCCAGUCUAGGAAGAAAUUUCUCUUCGUUCCAGUUCAAGUUUAUUCUUACAGCUUCAUCAAAGAAAAGAGGAAGUUGGUUUAUUCAGUUGGGACAUUAUACUACUGGACUAUCCUGUGAUUUGCUACUGGCCAAACUCAAUUUACAUAUCUUUCUUGGCAACUGUAUUUUAACUCUUUGUUUGCUGUUGAAGUAGUAAA
Molecule: long non-coding RNA, 575 nt
Organism: Hyla sarda
Lineage: Eukaryota; Metazoa; Chordata; Amphibia; Anura; Hylidae
Exons: 3
Source: RefSeq, a predicted model, not a curated record